This 4359-nucleotide long non-coding RNA is filed under the name Salvia miltiorrhiza (redroot sage). Its description in RNAcentral is "long non-coding RNA (SMIL_LNC000494)". The record is from RNAcentral. Lineage: Eukaryota; Viridiplantae; Streptophyta; Magnoliopsida; Lamiales; Lamiaceae.
AUACUUUAUUUAUUCUUACUUUUCACUUUUUCACCACUCCCAAUACUAAUUAUAACACUUUUUCAUCUUUUCACCACUCUCAAUACUAAUUAUAACAUAUUUUUCUUCACUAUCAAUACACUUUACCAUUUUUCCUUAAAACCCGUGUCGUCCCCAAAGAGGAACUUAUUUUGGGGACGGAGGGAGUAUCAUUUAAGCUAGUUUGGAUUGAUUUCUAUCUCAUUUAAUCUAGUUUGGCUUGAUUUUUCCCCGACACAGUGAAGUUUUUGAAAUUGCUUCUUUUUGUAUGAAGAAGAAUUUACAACGUGACACCUUUGUUUCUAAGAUCACACGUUUUUGUAGGAUAAGGAAGGAUCUAGAGUGAUCGAGGGUGUAUCAACAGGACCACAUUUUGUAUUAUUGUAAAAAUUGAAUUCCUUUCGCAGAAUAGUAAUUUUAAUGAAUCGCUUACUAAAAUAGUCUUUUAGUAUUUUCAUAAAUAAUUUAAUGUAGAAGUUUGGGAAAGAGAUUAAUUAUAUAUAUAGAUCUCUUAGACUCACGUAGAACUAUAGAUCACUUAAAAUUGCACAAUGUUAAAUGCAAAAAAUGUAAUGUUGUGUGUAUUUGAGUAUGCUCUCACGCGAUCUUUAAAAUUAUUUGUUCAUUUAAAAAAAAAUUGAACACAAAUUAAGUACAUAUAUGAUUUCAAAUGCGCAUAAAUGCAUUAACUCAAACACAUCACAACAUUAUGUAUAUAUGUUGCAUUAUAAAAAAAAAUGCAUGAUUAUAUAUACAUGUAUAUUUAUAAUGCAUUACUAAAUACACAAAAAUGCAUCUAUACAAUGGUAAUACAUGUAAAUUGAGGAUCUACCCAAUCCUUAUCCUAUAAAUUUGUGAAUCAAAUUUCACGAAACCUAACCCCACAAUUAUUUGCGAAUUUCCUCGUCACAUGGUGAUGGUCCCAACUCCUCGUGGUCCCCUUUUGCAUAAUUAAAGGUCAAGAAAAUAUAAAAGAGUCCAAACUUUAUACGCUUCAUAAAUGGCACGUUUUUUAUUUUAGAAAUAAAGGGCUUUAAUUGGGAUAUUCUAUGUUGUAAACAAUUGAUUAACCUAAACCUUCUUUAUUUAUCUAAACAAAUCAUAAAUAGUAAAUACUCCCUAUACUUAUAUUUUUGCCACCAAUUAUUUAAAUUUUUCUCUAUGCCCAAAAUGGUAAGUAAACGGAAAUGGACGGAUCAGUAGAAAUUUUCCCCUUCUCUUUUUGAUAAAUUAUUGCACUUUUUACUCUAUUAAUGAAAGUAAGGGGUUGUCGGCAAAUGAUGUAUGUUCAAUAACUAAAUGAUAUUGUAUGGUUUCACAUAGUGUUAAGAGUUGUUUUAACUCUAAUAAUUAUACUAUAUUUUUUGAAUAAAUCCUUGUUUUAUCUUCUUCAUUAAUUAAUUUUAUAAGAGAAUUAAUAUCUCUAUAUUUUCGGUUUGCUUUCUGUUUGUAUCUCAGCAGUGUAUAUAUAGCUAGCUUUUCCUUUGAUGUAAAUCAGUUGAAUUCAUACAGAGAAAUGAAAUAUUACCUCCUUUCUCUCUCAUCACAACUACCCUAUCUUAUCUCAAUAAUUGUUCAUUGUCAUGAGUUUUUGAAUUAAAUUCUUUCUCGAUAUUUGUGCACGUAGGACCAUCAACUAAUAAUGAAGUAGGAGAAUUAAAUAUCAGCAGGACCACAUUUUCUAGAUCGUUUAUUGUCACAUGCUAUAAAACAGGAGCCAUACAUAUAUAAUCCGUAUGUACCACAUUUUCUAGAAAAUAAAUGCUCACUUUAAAUAUCAACUGGACCGCAUUUGCUCACUUGAUAUUUUCUUCACAUGCCAUAAAACAGGAGCCAUGCAUAAUUGGAGUAGGACCCAUGCUAUUUGUAAAAUGUACCAUAAAAUAUACUCCCUCCGUCCCAGCUGAAAUAUCAUGUUUUCCUUUUUGGGUUGUCCCACUUGAAAUGUCAUGUUUCCUUUUUUGGCAAUACACUCUCUCUCUCUAUACUUAAUAUUUAAAUAAUUUCCACCAACCCACUUUAUCUACUUUAUACACAUUUCUUAAUCUCCGUGCCGAAAAGAAACAAGACAUUUUAGCUGGGACGAAGGGAGUAAAUGAUUAGCUUCAGGGACGUUUGAGGGUAGGUGUCGAAAGCUUAUCUGAUACGACUCGAUAUGCAAACAAGUUGUUUGACAAAAUGCCUGAGCCAAAAUUGUAUGGUAAAGACUAAUGAGUGCUAGAAUCCCAUGUUCUCUAGGUUGGGAAAAAAAGGUUUAUCUCACCUUUUAUAAUUUGUAGAUGGGAAAAUAUUAACAUAUCAAUACCUUACAAAUUGUACUUUUAUUCCAUUUUUUAACUAAUAAUGUACUUUUAAUCUACUUUUUUGUACUAACACAACCCUUACAAAUUGUACAUUUAUCAAGAAUCUUUUGUAUGUUACAUAAGUAUGGAACAUGAAUUUGGAUUCAAAUAUUUGACCAAUCUUAUGAGAAAACAGACUUAAAGGGAAUUCUCUGAUUUAUUAUCUCUGAUACUAUUUUUUUUUUUAAGAAACUAUUAUAUUUUUAAAAGAGGAUCAAUAAUGACUUUUAAUAAUAUUCUUUCCAUAUGUUUUUACUUGCAAUUUCUAAAAAGAGAGAGAUAUUGUCAAAGGUGAUAUGGAAUUUAUAGAAGUGGUAUAUAUGUAAUAAAAUAUGAUGAUUAAAUAAUAUUUUCAUUCAUGCAUUAUACUAGUAUAAAUAGGAGAAGAGUUGACACCGACACACCAUCACUCACAACUCGAUCAAUUAAGCCAUGGCCAACCUUCCCCAAACCCUACUCUCCAUAGCCCUUCUCCUUGCCGCCGCUGCCAACACGGCGUGGUCCCAAACAACGUCCUUCACCUACGACUUCUGGGGCGACCAGCCGACCGAUCUCAUCUAUCAAGGCUCCGCCCAUUUCCCGUCCGACUCCACCUUCCUCCGCCUCACCGACUUCGAAACAUACCAGGUCGGCCGGGUCUUGUACUCGAAGCCGGUCCAGUUCUCCCAAGCCGGUGGCCAAGUCGACUUUGAAACCACCAUUAACUUCAUCAUCACACCCACUCCCGAGGACAAAACCGCUGACGGCCUCGCCUUCUUCAUGGGCCCAGUCGGCACCACCAUCCCCAGUGGCGCUGUUGGGGCCAACCUCGGAAUUUUCGGCUCCAACGGCAACAGCCCCUCGGUCUUCGCCGUCGAGUUCGACACCUUCAUCAACAGCCCGUGGGAUCCGAACUAUCCCCACAUCGGCAUCGACCUCGGAUCUAGGGAAUCCAGCAACACGACGAAUGUCGGAACCGCCAUAGUCGGACAGCAGGUGACUGCGCGGAUCAACUACGUCGGAGCCACGAAUAUGAUCACCGUCAGUGCCACCGCCGGCUCGAAGACGUUUGAGGUCAGUCUUAAGUACGAUUUGAGCCACUUUCUUCCUCAGCAAGUUCAGGUAGGGCUCUCCGCCGCCAGCGGACUAAACCAACCAUACGUCGCCAAACAUGAUAUUAUAUCAUGGUAUUUCACGGCCACCAUGGUGCAGACAAAUGCUGGCGCGUGGAGCAAGAAGGAGCUGGCCGGCAACAUUAUUCGUCAAUUUGUGUGAUUUUGAGAUGUGUGUGUGUCGUAAAUAAAUAAGGACUAAGCGAUCGAGUCUGCUCUCGUUAAGUCUAGAAAUAAGAUACUCGACCAUCUCUAUGUACGGACUAUGCAACAAUGCUUUUGGGUGUCGUUCUCGUUUUAUGAUCUUUGCAAGGUUAUCUAUGGAAGAUUUAUUAAGGACUUUUAUCGACCAGUUGGAAUACUGUAUAUGAAGCAAGUUAAUUCUUGUUAAUCCAACAAUAGUGAAUCCUACGCAACAAAGUAAUUCUCACACAGCCUGUGCCUUCAUCGUGAUUUAUUAGGAUCUCAAAAGGAUCGAUGUGCGACUAUUAGCACUAAUUGAAUGUGACUUCAAAGUAAAUAAUCAUCUAUAUAACUCAUUGUUGGUGGCAGACAAAACCCAUUAAGUGGGAGACAUCACUUUUCUGCUUUUACUUUUUGCUUUUCCUUUGUUGACUUCUUUGUCGUAGUUGUUAGGGGGUGUGUGGUCGAUUAUUCAUUCCUUGAGAAAAUUGAGACGAGAAAAAAGAGAGCAGAGAGAGCUGUGAGAGAAAAACUCUUGCAGAGAGAUUGGGGCGUGAUAUACACGAGAGAUUGUGAGGGUUUUUCCAGCGUGGGUUUGAGAGUGUACGAGAGUGAGAGGUUGAUCUCAUCUUGGGUGUAAUUCUCGAUUCAUUGUGUGACGAGUUCGCGGGUUGUGCGAAUCGUCGGAGUUCUUCAAUACUACGAUUGGUGUUGCUCCCAUGGAC